AUACGUAGGGUGCGAGCGUUGUCCGGAAUUACUGGGCGUAAAGAGCUCGUAGGUGGUUUGUCGCGUCGUCUGUGAAAUUCCGGGGCUUAACUCCGGGCGUGCAGGCGAUACGGGCAUAACUUGAGUACUGUAGGGGAGACUGGAAUUCCUGGUGUAGCGGUGAAAUGCGCGGAUAUCAGGAGGAACACCGGUGGCGAAGGGGGGUCUCUGGGCAGUAACUGACGCUGAGGAGCGAAAGCAUGGGUAGCGAACAGGAUUAGAUACCCUGGUAGUCCAUGCCGUAAACGGUGGGCGCUAGGUGUAGGGGUCUUCCACGACUUCUGUGCCGUAGCUAACGCAUUUAGCGCCCCGCCUGGGGAGUACGGCAGCAAGGCUAAAACUCAAAGGAAUUGACGGGG
RNAcentral lists this ribosomal RNA (398 nucleotides) under uncultured bacterium. Its description in RNAcentral is "partial 16S ribosomal RNA". It matches the Rfam family "Bacterial small subunit ribosomal RNA", at positions 523 to 918 of the family's 1533-position model. The record is from RNAcentral.